GAUGAGGCAUCAAAAUUAGGUUUAUUAAGCCUUGUUCUUGUUAAGGAUUUGUUUGCUGCGUCACAAAAAUGCAUAAAAAAAGCCCACUACAUCAGAAAAAGGAGGAAAACAAACUAAGGGAAAAAGCAAAGUGUUAUGGUCAAAGAAGAAAUAAAGCAAUACCAGAUCUCCUUUUGAUAACCUUGACUUUCCUUGCUCCAAGCCAUUUCGCUUUUCAAAGGUUUAAGUUUUUCUCUUCCUCCUCUAUGUAUCUGCUUAUGCUUCUAUAGUUUUAAUUCCUUUUUUUUUUUAAUUUUAAUAAAGUAUUUUCUUUAUUUUACUAAUUUGUACUGAACAAGUACUUAUCAUAAAAAGAGUAUCCCCACGAAGAGUCAAAUGAGUCUAUCAUGAAAAAGAAAAUGUGCAGGAAACUUGCAUCCACCUAUUUUCUUUUUCUUCCUGUUUCCUGAUUAGACACAGUUUAGUGUGUUUGAAAUGAGCUAGAGGCGUGUCAGAAUAUAUAAUACACAUAUACAUUUGACACUGGAUACUGGUCCUUGGAAAGUGUCACACUUCAUAGACAAAAAAAUCAUAAAUUCACAUAUGCACACACCCAUGCUUGUGCAGUCAUAUGCACAUGCGCAAACACAGUGAAAAAUCAGCAAAAAUGAUUUGUCUCAGAUAGGCUCCAUAACAAACAGGAAUAAUUUAAUGACCAUUAGUUGAGAAACAGAUGUCAUCUUGCUUGAUA
This 730-nucleotide unclassified non-coding RNA is filed under the name Hevea brasiliensis (rubber tree). The record is from RNAcentral. Lineage: Eukaryota; Viridiplantae; Streptophyta; Magnoliopsida; Malpighiales; Euphorbiaceae.